Molecule: microRNA, 19 nt
Filed under: Corchorus olitorius
Lineage: Eukaryota; Viridiplantae; Streptophyta; Magnoliopsida; Malvales; Malvaceae
Description: cin-miR-4101-
Source: RNAcentral
UAGAUUGUUUUAUAUGUGG